RNAcentral lists this ribosomal RNA (1011 nucleotides) under bacterium Q01. RNAcentral describes it as "bacterial SSU rRNA". It matches the Rfam family "Bacterial small subunit ribosomal RNA", at positions 518 to 1533 of the family's 1533-position model. The record is from RNAcentral.
CGGUAAUACGUAGGGCGCAAGCGUUAUCCGGAAUUAUUGGGCGUAAAGAGCUCGUAGGCGGUUUGUCGCGUCUGCUGUGAAAUCCCGAGGCUCAACCUCGGGUCUGCAGUGGGUACGGGCAGACUAGAGUGCGGUAGGGGAGAUUGGAAUUCCUGGUGUAGCGGUGGAAUGCGCAGAUAUCAGGAGGAACACCGAUGGCGAAGGCAGAUCUCUGGGCCGUAACUGACGCUGAGGAGCGAAAGGGUGGGGAGCAAACAGGCUUAGAUACCCUGGUAGUCCACCCCGUAAACGUUGGGAACUAGUUGUGGGGACCAUUCCACGGUNUCCGUGACGCAGCUAACGCAUUAAGUUCCCCGCCUGGGGAGUACGGCCGCAAGGCUAAAACUCAAAGGAAUUGACGGGGACCCGCACAAGCGGCGGAGCAUGCGGAUUAAUUCGAUGCAACGCGAAGAACCUUACCAAGGCUUGACAUACACCAGAACACCGUAGAAAUACGGGACUCUUUGGACACUGGUGAACAGGUGGUGCAUGGUUGUCGUCAGCUCGUGUCGUGAGAUGUUGGGUUAAGUCCCGCAACGAGCGCAACCCUCGUUCUAUGUUGCCAGCACGUAAUGGUGGGAACUCAUGGGAUACUGCCGGGGUCAACUCGGAGGAAGGUGGGGAUGACGUCAAAUCAUCAUGCCCCUUAUGUCUUGGGCUUCACGCAUGCUACAAUGGCCGGUACAAAGGGCUGCAAUACCGUGAGGUGGAGCGAAUCCCAAAAAGCCGGUCCCAGUUCGGAUUGAGGUCUGCAACUCGACCUCAUGAAGUCGGAGUCGCUAGUAAUCGCAGAUCAGCAACGCUGCGGUGAAUACGUUCCCGGGUCUUGUACACACCGCCCGUCAAGUCAUGAAAGUCGGUAACACCUGAAGCCGGUGGCCCAACCCUUGUGGAGGGAGCCGUCGAAGGUGGGAUCGGUAAUUAGGACUAAGUCGUANNAAGGUAACCAAUCGAAUUCCCGCGGGCCGNNNU